This 397-nucleotide ribosomal RNA is filed under the name uncultured bacterium. RNAcentral's name for it is "partial 16S ribosomal RNA". It matches the Rfam family "Bacterial small subunit ribosomal RNA", at positions 523 to 918 of the family's 1533-position model. The record is from RNAcentral.
AUACGUAGGUGACAAGCGUUAUCCGGAUUUACUGGGCGUAAAGGGCGUGUAGGCGGUCUUGCAAGUCAGAAGUGAAAUUCCUGAGCUCAACUCGGGCGCUGCUUCUGAAACUGCAGGACUUGAGUGCUGGAGGGGAUAGCGGAAUUCCUAGUGGAGCGGUAAAAUGCGCAGAUAUUAGGAAGAACACCGGUGGCGAAGGCGGCUAUCUGGACAGAACCUGACGCUGCGGCGCGAAAGCGGGGGGAGAAAACAGGAUGAGAUACCCGGGUAGUCCACGCCGUAAACGAUGAAUACUAGGUGUAGGGGGUAUCGACUCCCUCUGUGCCGCAGUUAACACAAUAAGUAUUCCGCCUGGGGAGUACGGCCGCAAGGUUGAAACUCAAAUGAAUUGACGGGG